RNAcentral lists this ribosomal RNA (317 nucleotides) under uncultured bacterium. RNAcentral's name for it is "bacterial SSU rRNA". It matches the Rfam family "Bacterial small subunit ribosomal RNA", at positions 189 to 507 of the family's 1533-position model. The record is from RNAcentral.
CAUCAUUUUAUAAUUAAGUUGAGGCGGUAAUAGAUGAGUAAGCGUCCUAUUAGCUAGUUGGUGAGGUAUCGGCUCACCAAGGCUACGAUAGGUAGGGUCCUGAGAGGGAGAUCCCCCACACUGGUACUGAGACACGGACCAGACUCCUACGGGAGGCAGCAGUGAGGAAUAUUGGUCAAUGGACGCAAGUCUGAACCAGCCAUGUCGCGUGCAGGAAGACGGCCUUAUGGGUUGUAAACUGCUUUUCUAUAGGGAGAAACCCCCUUUCGUGAGAGGGGCUGACGGUACUAUAGGAAUAAACACCGGCUAACUCCGUG